Molecule: microRNA precursor, 65 nt
Filed under: Oryza longistaminata (longstamen rice)
Lineage: Eukaryota; Viridiplantae; Streptophyta; Magnoliopsida; Poales; Poaceae
Description: pre miRNA MIR2907
Rfam family: MIR2907 microRNA precursor family
Source: RNAcentral
UAGCGCCCCUGUCUCCACCCACUCGGUCGCCACAUGGCGGCCGAGCGAGGGCCUCGGGGUGACAU